GACGAACGCUGGCGGCGUGCUUAACACAUGCAAGUCGAACGAAGAGCGAUGGACGCUUGCUUCUAUCAAUCUUAGUGGCGAACGGGUGAGUAACGCGUAAUCAACCUGCCCUUCAGAGGGGGACAACAGUUGGAAACGACUGCUAAUACCGCAUACGAUCUAAUCUCGGCAUCGAGGAUAGAUGAACGGUGGCCUCUACAUGUAAGCUAUCACUGAAGGAGGGGAUUGCGUCUGAUUAGCUAGUUGGAGGGGUAACGGCCCACCAAGGCGAUGAUCGGUAGCCGGUCUGGGAGGAUGAACGGCCACAUUGGGAAUGAGACACGGCCCAGACUCCUACGGGAGGCAGCAGUGGGGAAUCUUCCGCAAGGGACGAAAGUCUGACGGAGCAACGCCGCGUGAGUGAUGACGGCCUUCGGGUUGUAAAGCUCUGUUAAUCGGGACGAAAGGCCUUCUUGCGAAUAGUGAGAAGGAUUGACGGUACCGGAAGAGAAAGCCACGGCUAACUACGUG
RNAcentral lists this ribosomal RNA (510 nucleotides) under uncultured bacterium. Its description in RNAcentral is "partial 16S ribosomal RNA". It matches the Rfam family "Bacterial small subunit ribosomal RNA", at positions 28 to 507 of the family's 1533-position model. The record is from RNAcentral.